UACGGGGGGAGCAAGCGUUGUUCGGAUUUACUGGGCGUAAAGGGCGCGUAGGCGGCCACCGCAAGUCGACUGUGAAAUCUCCGGGCUUAACCCGGAAAGGUCAGCCGAUACUGCGGGGCUAGAGUGCAGAAGGGGCAACUGGAAUUCUCGGUGUAGCGGUGAAAUGCGUAGAUAUCGUGAGGAACACCUGCGGCGAAGGCGGGUUGCUGGGCUGACACUGACGCUGAUGCGCGAAAGCUAGGGGAGCGAACGGG
This 254-nucleotide ribosomal RNA is filed under the name uncultured bacterium. RNAcentral's name for it is "partial 16S ribosomal RNA". It matches the Rfam family "Bacterial small subunit ribosomal RNA", at positions 524 to 776 of the family's 1533-position model. The record is from RNAcentral.